GUAACAAGGUGUCCGUGAGAGGAUGGGUGAGUAACGCGUAGGAACGUGUCCAGAGGUGGGGGACAACCCCGGGAAACUGGGGCUAAUACCGCAUAUGGGCUGAGGCCCAAAGCCGAGAGGCGCCUUAGGAGCGGCCUGCGUCCGAUUAGGUAGUUGGUGGGGUAAAGGCCUACCAAGCCUGCGAUCGGUAGCUGGUCUGAGAGGACGACCAGCCACACUGGGACUGAGACACGGCCCAGACUCCUACGGGAGGCAGCAGUGGGGAAUAUUGGACAAUGGGCGAAAGCCUGAUCCAGCAAUGCCGCGUGGGUGAAGAAGGUCUUCGGAUCGUAAAGCCCUUUCGACGGGGACGAUGAUGACGGUACCCGUAGAAGAAGCCCCGGCUAACUUCGUGCCAGCAGCCGCGGUAAUACGAAGGGGGCUAGCGUUGCUCGGAAUUACUGGGCGUAAAGGGCGCGUAGGCGGCGGCCCAAGUCAGGCGUGAAAUUCCUGGGCUCAAC
Molecule: ribosomal RNA, 500 nt
Filed under: Roseomonas mucosa
Lineage: Bacteria; Pseudomonadati; Pseudomonadota; Alphaproteobacteria; Acetobacterales; Roseomonadaceae
Description: bacterial SSU rRNA
Rfam family: Bacterial small subunit ribosomal RNA
Source: RNAcentral